UUAUGUUUUAGAAAACCUUUGCUGCACUGCUUUUCAAGUAUGUUGUUUUUGAAGAUUUCACUCAUAAGUUAUCAACACAUAAAUAAUUCUAUUCUGGCUAAAACCGCAUUAUUGCGAAUUAUUUCGAAAAUUUAGGAGACUAUCAUGUCUAACACAACUGGUAUCGUUAAGUGGUUCAACGAAGAGAAAGGUUUCGGUUUCAUUACUCAAGAUAACGGCGGCGCUGACGUAUUCGUUCACUUCCGUGCUAUCGCUACUGAAGGCUUCAAAACUCUUGCUGAAGGUCAAAAAGUUUCUUUUGACGUUGAACAAGGCCAGAAAGGUCCUCAAGCUGCUAACGUAGUUGCUCUUUAAUUUAGAGUCUAUGUAACAGCAUAAAAAUGUCGGCUUAGCCGGCAUUUUUUU
RNAcentral lists this small RNA (405 nucleotides) under Photobacterium profundum SS9. Its description in RNAcentral is "cspA thermoregulator". It matches the Rfam family "cspA thermoregulator". The record is from Rfam by way of RNAcentral. Lineage: Bacteria; Pseudomonadati; Pseudomonadota; Gammaproteobacteria; Vibrionales; Vibrionaceae.